This 274-nucleotide ribosomal RNA is filed under the name uncultured bacterium. RNAcentral's name for it is "partial 16S ribosomal RNA". It matches the Rfam family "Bacterial small subunit ribosomal RNA", at positions 524 to 796 of the family's 1533-position model. The record is from RNAcentral.
UACGGAGGGAGCAAGCGUUGUUCGGAAUUACUGGGCGUAAAGAGCGUGUAGGCGGUUUAUCAAGUCGGGCGUGAAAUCCCAGGGCUCAACCCUGGAACUGCGUUCGAAACUGAUAGGCUAGAGUUCGGUAGAGGAUGGUGGAAUUCCUAGUGUAGAGGUGAAAUUCGUAGAUAUUAGGAGGAACACCAGAGGCGAAGGCGACCAUCUGGGCCGAUACUGACGCUGAGACGCGAAAAGCGUGGGGAGCAAACAGGAUUAGAUACCCCCGUAGUCC